AGUCAAUAGAUACCCUGGUAGUCCAUGCCGUAAACGAUGAUUGCUAGGUGUGGGGGGUCGUGACCCCUCCCGUGCCGGACGGUUAAGCACAAUAAGCAAUCCACCUCGGGGAGGUACGGCCGCAAGGUUGAAACUACAAGGAAUUGACGGGGGCCCGGCACAAGCAGUGGAGUAUGUGGUUUAAUUUCGAAGCAACGCGAAGAACCUUACCAGGUCUUGACAUCCACCGAAUCCUGUAGAGAUACGGGAGUGCCCUUCGGGGUAACGGGUGAGACAGGUGGUGCAUGGUUGUCGUCAGCUCGUGUCGUGAGAU
RNAcentral lists this ribosomal RNA (313 nucleotides) under uncultured bacterium. RNAcentral describes it as "bacterial SSU rRNA". It matches the Rfam family "Bacterial small subunit ribosomal RNA", at positions 774 to 1073 of the family's 1533-position model. The record is from RNAcentral.